GCACCACAAGAGCGUGGAGUAUGUGGCUUAAUUUGACUCAACGCGGAAAAGCUUAUCUGGUCCGGACGCAGUGAGGAUUGACAGACAGUUUCAGGAGUGGUUCUUGGUAAACAAUUGAGAGAGUUGAAGUUCUUUCAUGAUCUUGUGAGAGGUGGUGCAUGGCCGUUCUUAGUUCGUGUAGUGAUAUGUCUGCCUAAUCGCGUCACGAUAACCUAUUGGUCGACAACCCAAUUAUCACAACUGCAGCAUAACUCCCCUUGGGUGGGCGAGGCUCUGUGUAGGAUAGACCUCUGAACAGUACGCAACGAACGCGAUCGUAAUCCCUUGUUGAGUGGCCAUCCUGUAAGCUGCUGGAUUAGGAACCCAGUGGUAUUAUCUCAGCCACAGAUUUUCUGGUUGUAAUGGGCCAUUUUGAAACUCGGGGAACAUCUGUGACUUUCUUUCUUAACGCAGAGGAAGGUUAUGGCAAUAAC
Molecule: ribosomal RNA, 473 nt
Filed under: Globigerina bulloides
Lineage: Eukaryota; Foraminifera; Rotaliida; Globigerinidae
Description: bacterial SSU rRNA
Rfam family: Eukaryotic small subunit ribosomal RNA
Source: RNAcentral